This 1403-nucleotide ribosomal RNA is filed under the name Pseudonocardia sp. 03-St-010. RNAcentral describes it as "bacterial SSU rRNA". It matches the Rfam family "Bacterial small subunit ribosomal RNA". Lineage: Bacteria; Bacillati; Actinomycetota; Actinomycetes; Pseudonocardiales; Pseudonocardiaceae. The record is from RNAcentral.
UGCAAGUCGAGCGGUAAGGCCCUUUCGGGGGUACACGAGCGGCGAACGGGUGAGUAACACGUGGGUGACCUGCCCUCCACUCUGGGAUAAGCCCGGGAAACUGGGUCUAAUACCGGAUAGGACCACUGAUCGCAUGGUUGGUGGUGGAAAGUUUUUUCGGUGGGGGAUGGGCCCGCGGCCUAUCAGCUUGUUGGUGGGGUGAUGGCCUACCAAGGCGGUGACGGGUAGCCGGCCUGAGAGGGCGACCGGCCACACUGGGACUGAGACACGGCCCAGACUCCUACGGGAGGCAGCAGUGGGGAAUAUUGCGCAAUGGGCGGAAGCCUGACGCAGCGACGCCGCGUGGGGGAUGACGGCCUUCGGGUUGUAAACCUCUUUCGCCAGGGACGAAGAGCAAUUGACGGUACCUGGAGAAGAAGCACCGGCCAACUACGUGCCAGCAGCCGCGGUAACACGUAGGGUGCGAGCGUUGUCCGGAAUUAUUGGGCGUAAAGAGCUCGUAGGCGGUGUGUCGCGUCGGCCGUGAAAACUUGGGGCUUAACUCUGAGCGUGCGGUCGAUACGGGCAUCACUUGAGUUCGGCAGGGGAGACUGGAAUUCCUGGUGUAGCGGUGAAAUGCGCAGAUAUCAGGAGGAACACCGGUGGCGAAGGCGGGUCUCUGGGCCGAUACUGACGCUGAGGAGCGAAAGCGUGGGGAGCGAACAGGAUUAGAUACCCUGGUAGUCCACGCCGUAAACGUUGGGCGCUAGGUGUGGGGACCAUUCCACGGUUUCUGUGCCGCAGCUAACGCAUUAAGCGCCCCGCCUGGGGAGUACGGCCGCAAGGCUAAAACUCAAAGGAAUUGACGGGGCCCGCACAAGCGGCGGAGCAUGUGGAUUAAUUCGAUGCAACGCGAAGAACCUUACCUGGGUUUGACAUGCACCAGACAUCCCUAGAGAUAGGGCUUCCCUUGUGGUUGGUGUGCAGGUGGUGCAUGGCUGUCGUCAGCUCGUGUCGUGAGAUGUUGGGUUAAGUCCCGCAACGAGCGCAACCCUUGUUCCAUGUUGCCAGCACGUAAUGGUGGGGACUCAUGGGAGACUGCCGGGGUCAACUCGGAGGAAGGUGGGGAUGACGUCAAGUCAUCAUGCCCCUUAUGUCCAGGGCUUCACACAUGCUACAAUGGCUCAUACAGAGGGCUGCGAGACCGUGAGGUGGAGCGAAUCCCUUAAAGUGAGUCUCAGUUCGGAUCGGGGUCUGCAACUCGACCCCGUGAAGUUGGAGUCGCUAGUAAUCGCAGAUCAGCAACGCUGCGGUGAAUACGUUCCCGGGCCUUGUACACACCGCCCGUCACGUCACGAAAGUUGGUAACACCCGAAGCCGGCGGCCCAACCCUUGUGGAGGGAGCUGUCGAAGGUGGGACUGGC